GUUGCCGUGAGGCAGGGUCUGAAGGAAGGUGUAAGCAAACCUCUGCCCCAACGCACAGAAACCAUUUCAGGCCGAGCAUGGGGGAUAAGGCCGCUAGACAGGCCGAAGUCCAAUAACUGCACGGAACCCAGCUAGGUAAAGAUGGUGGGGACAUGGAGGGAAAGAACGUGUG
RNAcentral lists this non-coding RNA (172 nucleotides) under Enterocloster clostridioformis. The record is from RNAcentral. Lineage: Bacteria; Bacillati; Bacillota; Clostridia; Lachnospirales; Lachnospiraceae.